RNAcentral lists this ribosomal RNA (234 nucleotides) under uncultured bacterium. RNAcentral describes it as "partial 16S ribosomal RNA". It matches the Rfam family "Bacterial small subunit ribosomal RNA", at positions 118 to 351 of the family's 1533-position model. The record is from RNAcentral.
UGAGUAACCUGCCCCCGACUUCGGGAUAACUCCGGGAAACCGGUGCUAAUACCGGAUAUGAGGUGCCUUCGCAUGGGGGUGUCUGGAAAGAUUUAUCGGUUGGGGAUGGGCUCGCGGCCUAUCAGCUUGUUGGUGGGGUGAUGGCCUACCAAGGCGACGACGGGUAGCCGGCCUGAGAGGGCGACCGGCCACACUGGGACUGAGACACGGCCCAGACCUCCGUACGGGGAGCAG